RNAcentral lists this ribosomal RNA (1410 nucleotides) under Salmonella enterica subsp. enterica serovar Saintpaul. RNAcentral's name for it is "bacterial LSU rRNA". It matches the Rfam family "Bacterial large subunit ribosomal RNA", at positions 1430 to 2823 of the family's 2925-position model. Lineage: Bacteria; Pseudomonadati; Pseudomonadota; Gammaproteobacteria; Enterobacterales; Enterobacteriaceae. The record is from RNAcentral.
UUAAUAUUCCCGUACUUGGUGUUACUGCGAAGGGGGGACGGAGAAGGCUAUGUUGGCCGGGCGACGGUUGUCCCGGUUUAAGCGUGUAGGUGUGUGUUCCAGGUAAAUCCGGUUCACUUUAACACUGAGGCGUGACGACGAGGCACUACGGUGCUGAAGCAACAAAUGCCCUGCUUCCAGGAAAAGCCUCUAAGCAUCAGGUAACAUCAAAUCGUACCCCAAACCGACACAGGUGGUCAGGUAGAGAAUACCAAGGCGCUUGAGAGAACUCGGGUGAAGGAACUAGGCAAAAUGGUGCCGUAACUUCGGGAGAAGGCACGCUGACAUGUAGGUGAAGUGAUUUACUCAUGGAGCUGAAGUCAGUCGAAGAUACCAGCUGGCUGCAACUGUUUAUUAAAAACACAGCACUGUGCAAACACGAAAGUGGACGUAUACGGUGUGACGCCUGCCCGGUGCCGGAAGGUUAAUUGAUGGGGUCAGCGCAAGCGAAGCUCCUGAUCGAAGCCCCGGUAAACGGCGGCCGUAACUAUAACGGUCCUAAGGUAGCGAAAUUCCUUGUCGGGUAAGUUCCGACCUGCACGAAUGGCGUAAUGAUGGCCAGGCUGUCUCCACCCGAGACUCAGUGAAAUUGAACUCGCUGUGAAGAUGCAGUGUACCCGCGGCAAGACGGAAAGACCCCGUGAACCUUUACUAUAGCUUGACACUGAACAUUGAGCCUUGAUGUGUAGGAUAGGUGGGAGGCUUUGAAGUGUGGACGCCAGUCUGCAUGGAGCCGACCUUGAAAUACCACCCUUUAAUGUUUGAUGUUCUAACGUGGACCCGUUAUCCGGGUUGCGGACAGUGUCUGGUGGGUAGUUUGACUGGGGCGGUCUCCUCCUAAAGAGUAACGGAGGAGCACGAAGGUUGGCUAAUCCUGGUCGGACAUCAGGAGGUUAGUGCAAUGGCAUAAGCCAGCUUGACUGCGAGCGUGACGGCGCGAGCAGGUGCGAAAGCAGGUCAUAGUGAUCCGGUGGUUCUGAAUGGAAGGGCCAUCGCUCAACGGAUAAAAGGUACUCCGGGGAUAACAGGCUGAUACCGCCCAAGAGUUCAUAUCGACGGCGGUGUUUGGCACCUCGAUGUCGGCUCAUCACAUCCUGGGGCUGAAGUAGGUCCCAAGGGUAUGGCUGUUCGCCAUUUAAAGUGGUACGCGAGCUGGGUUUAGAACGUCGUGAGACAGUUCGGUCCCUAUCUGCCGUGGGCGCUGGAGAACUGAGGGGGGCUGCUCCUAGUACGAGAGGACCGGAGUGGACGCAUCACUGGUGUUCGGGUUGUCAUGCCAAUGGCACUGCCCGGUAGCUAAAUGCGGAAGAGAUAAGUGCUGAAAGCAUCUAAGCACGAAACUUGCCCCGAGAUGAGUUCUCCCUGAGACUU